Molecule: ribosomal RNA, 1538 nt
Rfam family: Bacterial small subunit ribosomal RNA
UUAUACAAUGGAGAGUUUGAUCCUGGCUCAGGAUGAACGCUAGCUACAGGCUUAACACAUGCAAGUCGCGGGGUAACAUCUGGGAGAGCUUGCUCUUCCAGGAUGACGACCGGCGCACGGGUGAGUAACGCGUAUCCAACCUGGCCCAUACCACGGGAUAGCCCGUCGAAAGGCGGAUUAAUACCGUAUGCUGUCAUUAAGAUGCAUAUAUUGAUGACGAAAGGACUGGCGGUAUGGGAUGGGGAUGCGUCUGAUUAGCUUGUUGGCGGGGUAACGGCCCACCAAGGCGACGAUCAGUAGGGGUUCUGAGAGGAAGGUCCCCCACAUUGGAACUGAGACACGGUCCAAACUCCUACGGGAGGCAGCAGUGAGGAAUAUUGGUCAAUGGGCGCAAGCCUGAACCAGCCAAGUAGCGUGAGGGAAGACUGCCCUACGGGUUGUAAACCUCUUUUGUUUGGGAAUAAAGUGCGGGACGUGUCCCGCAUUGCAUGUACCAUUUGAAUAAGGACCGGCUAAUUCCGUGCCAGCAGCCGCGGUAAUACGGAAGGUCCGGGCGUUAUCCGGAUUUAUUGGGUUUAAAGGGAGCGCAGGCCGUGGGUUAAGCGUGUCGUGAAAUUCCGUCGCUCAACGGCGGACGUGCGGCGCGAACUGGUCCACUUGAGUACGCGGGACGUUGGCGGAAUUCGUGGUGUAGCGGUGAAAUGCUUAGAUAUCACGAAGAACUCCGAUUGCGAAGGCAGCUGACGGUAGCGCAACUGACGCUGAGGCUCGAAAGUGCGGGUAUCGAACAGGAUUAGAUACCCUGGUAGUCCGCACGGUAAACGAUGGAUGCCCGCUAUUCGCCCACCUGGGCGAGUGGCCAAGCGAAAGCGUUAAGCAUCCCACCUGGGGAGUACGCCGGCAACGGUGAAACUCAAAGGAAUUGACGGGGGCCCGCACAAGCGGAGGAACAUGUGGUUUAAUUCGAUGAUACGCGAGGAACCUUACCCGGGCUUGAAUUGCAGAGGAAGGAUUUAGAGAUAAUGACGCCCUUCGGGGCCUCUGUGAAGGUGCUGCAUGGUUGUCGUCAGCUCGUGCCGUGAGGUGUCGGCUUAAGUGCCAUAACGAGCGCAACCCCUCUCCGUAGUUGCCAUCGGGUGAUGCCGGGCACUCUGCGGACACUGCCACCGUAAGGUGUGAGGAAGGUGGGGAUGACGUCAAAUCAGCACGGCCCUUACGUCCGGGGCUACACACGUGUUACAAUGGGGCAUACAGAGCGCCGGCGGCCGGCAACGUCCGUCCAAUCGCAAAAGUGUCCCCCAGUUCGGACUGGGGUCUGCAACCCGACCCCACGAAGCUGGAUUCGCUAGUAAUCGCGCAUCAGCCAUGGCGCGGUGAAUACGUUCCCGGGCCUUGUACACACCGCCCGUCAAGCCAUGAAAGCCGGGGGCGCCUGAAGUCCGUGACCGCAAGGGUCGGCCUAGGGCGAAACCGGUGAUUGGGGCUAAGUCGUAACAAGGUAGCCGUACCGGAAGGUGCGGCUGGAACACCUCCUUUCU